GAAAUGCGAUAAGUAAUGUGAAUUGCAGAAUUCAGUGAAUCAUCGAAUCUUUGAACGCACCUUGCGCUCCUUGGUAUUCCGAGGAGCAUGCCUGUUUGAGUGUCAGUAAAUUCUCAACUCCUCCAGUUUUUGUGACUGAGAUGGAGCUUGGAUGUGGAGGUCUUGCGGGCCCUUAAGGGGUCGGCUCCUCUGAAAUGCAUUAGCGGAACCGUUUGCGAUCCGUCACAGGUGUGAUAAUUAUCUACGCCAGUGGGUUGCUCUCUGUCUUGUUCAGCUGCCAACCGUCCGCAAGGACAGACUAUUUUACUGAACCUUUGACCUCAAAUCAGGUAGGACUACCCGCUGAACUUAA
Molecule: ribosomal RNA, 352 nt
Filed under: Lepiota praetervisa
Lineage: Eukaryota; Fungi; Basidiomycota; Agaricomycetes; Agaricales; Agaricaceae
Description: eukaryotic LSU rRNA
Rfam family: 5.8S ribosomal RNA (bases 1-105)
Source: RNAcentral